Long non-coding RNA from Sinocyclocheilus rhinocerous, 856 nucleotides. RefSeq lists it as uncharacterized. Lineage: Eukaryota; Metazoa; Chordata; Actinopteri; Cypriniformes; Cyprinidae. The record is from RefSeq and is a predicted model, not a curated record. The transcript has 2 exons.
AGAGAGGUCAAAAGUUUAAUGGUACCAUUUUACUUCAAUAUCAGGCUAAUUAUAUUCAGUGAGAGAAAAAUAGUGAAAUAACAAAGUACAGGAUUUUCUUGUGCCAUAACACACUUCACAAGCUUCAAGUGAAGGACUAGAAAAGCAGGUGAACACUGCCCUCCUGUGACGCUCUGGAGAACGAUACUAUUUUUUAGUGCAGCUGGUCAAACUUGGCAUUUGCUUCACCAGGGCAUGUGAAAUGCAAAGCAAAAUGCACAAAAAGUUUUAUGCACAAAAUGAAUAAAUACUUUCAUUCACCACUAUUUGUUUUGAAAUACAAACAGAAAUGUAUUAGUCUGAGACAUUUUGCAUAUUUUCAGACAUUUUAACACAAUAUCAAUCUCUCUGCCAUAUGUCUACGUACUCUGUAGCUACUUUUAGAGCAGACACUUUGCUUGACAGAUUCAUUGUUUCACCAGAGUAGAUGAGUGCGCUUUCACAGUUGUGUGAGAAGAGCUAAAAAUAAGCUUGAAGGUCAUAGAUUAGAGAAAGCUUGCAGUGCGAGUUGAUUGUCAGCCUGCUGGAAGAGCAUUAAACAAACACAACAAACACAAAGGUGACCCUUGCACAGCAAAAAUAUAAUCUGAUAAAGAUCAACUGACUAAGCAUUUAGUGUUGUGCCCUUAUUGCAAAACACAAAAAUUAGGCAGCACAGCAUAAUAUUCAAAACAAGAUGAGCAACACACAUCGAUUUAAUAUGAAAAGACAAACAACUGUAUUUUAUGUGGCAGGAAAUGUUUCUGUAAAUGUGGCAGUAAUGGGGUAAUGCUUCAACAAGGUCUGUUGGUGAUGCAUUUGGCACUACAUGAUGACA